RNAcentral lists this unclassified non-coding RNA (232 nucleotides) under plant metagenome. Its description in RNAcentral is "partial contains small subunit ribosomal RNA, internal transcribed spacer 1, and 5.8S ribosomal RNA". The record is from RNAcentral.
UUUCCGUAGGUGAACCUGCGGAAGGAUCAUUAAUUAUAUAAGGCCACAGGGCAAGCUGUCCGACAGGAUCGAGCUUGCUGUGUGAACCCUACCUACCCUUGCUUUUCGCGUACCCAUUGUUUCCUCGGCAGGCUUGCCUGCCAGUAGGACCCUCUUAAACCCUUUGUAAUUGCAGUCAGCGUCAGAAACAACGUAAUCGUUACAACUUUCAACAACGGAUCUCUUGGUUCUG